AAAAAUACACAUACUGUGAGCUCGAUGAGUAGGGCGGGACACGUGGUAUCCUGUCUGAAUAUGGGGGGACCAUCCUCCAAGGCUAAAUACUCCUGACUGACCGAUAGUGAACCAGUACCGUGAGGGAAAGGCGAAAAGAACCCCGGCGAGGGGAGUGAAAAAGAACCUGAAACCGUGUACGUACAAGCAGUGGGAGCACGCUUAGGCGUGUGACUGCGUACCUUUUGUAUAAUGGGUCAGCGACUUAUAUUCUGUAGCAAGGUUAACCGAAUAGGGGAGCCGAAGGGAAACCGAGUCUUAACUGGGCGUUAAGUUGCAGGGUAUAGACCCGAAACCCGGUGAUCUAGCCAUGGGCAGGUUGAAGGUUGGGUAACACUAACUGGAGGACCGAACCGACUAAUGUUGAAAAAUUAGCGGAUGACUUGUGGCUGGGGGUGAAAGGCCAAUCAAACCGGGAGAUAGCUGGUUCUCCCCGAAAGCUAUUUAGGUAGCGCCUCGUGAAUUCAUCUCCGGGGGUAGAGCACUGUUUCGGCAAGGGGGUCAUCCCGA
Molecule: ribosomal RNA, 549 nt
Filed under: Escherichia coli
Lineage: Bacteria; Pseudomonadati; Pseudomonadota; Gammaproteobacteria; Enterobacterales; Enterobacteriaceae
Description: partial 23S ribosomal RNA
Rfam family: Bacterial large subunit ribosomal RNA
Source: RNAcentral